This 717-nucleotide long non-coding RNA is filed under the name Malus domestica (apple). Its description in RNAcentral is "long non-coding RNA (MDOM_LNC015634)". The record is from RNAcentral. Lineage: Eukaryota; Viridiplantae; Streptophyta; Magnoliopsida; Rosales; Rosaceae.
UGUAAGUUGAUGAGUAAGACGUCUAAAGUAUUUACCUCCUUAGAUUUGAUCCAAGGAAAAGAAACACUUUAGAUGAGUCUCCUUGAAAGAUAUCAAGGAAAAAAGCAUCAUAAGAUAAUAAAUUUCUCCAUUAAGGAGAAGAACGAACUUGAAUAAGAUUUAGUUCGUUAGAUGUUAUCUAUUACCCAUAUAUAGGAUAUAUACUUCUAAAACAAUAUGAUUGUCAAUUAGAAGAUCUUCCAAAUUUUUCAUGACUCCAUAAGAUGUAGUUGGAAAGAAAGACAAAUCUUAAGCAUGUUAAGAUUUGGGGUUGUGAGCUAAUAAGCAAUAUUUGUUUGAUAACAAUCUUGUGGGAUAUCCUUAAAUUAACUUUUGGAUAUCACUUCUAUAAACCAAUUAACAAAUGUUGUUUUGUUGGGUAGUUCAUUGUAAUCCUACAAUGUGAUUUGCCUAAAAGCAAAUGAACGAGAGAUAGAAUUCAAAGAAUGGGUUCUUUGAGAGACAAGAAAGUAAUCAACAAAUAUAACAACCUAGUUCCUAUACCAAAGGCUCCAAGGUAGUCGAGAAGGAUUUCUAAACCGUCUCAGUUGAAUGGUUUGAACUUUAUGACUAUGUCAUAGAGUUACACCUCUUAAUUCGAAAUAAAUAAGAAUGAAAAUCCUUAUGACUACAUUGAGUGUAUAUAUGAUAUAUACUCAAGGAAAUGGUAAAGUACCA